UGGGGAAUAUUGCACAAUGGGCGAAAGCCUGAUGCAGCAACGCCGCGUGAGUGAUGACGGUCUUCGGAUUCUAAAGCUCUGUCUUUGGGGACGAUAAUGACGGUACCCAAGGAGGAAGCCACGGCUAACUACGUGCCAGCAGCCGCCGUAAUACGUAGGUGGCAAGCGUUGUCCGGAUUUACUGGGCGUAAAGGGUGCGUAGGCGGACCUUUAAGUGAGAUGUGAAAUCCCCGAGCUUAACUUGGGGGCUGCAUUUCAAACUGGAGGUCUAGAGUGCAGGAGAGGAGAGUGGAAUUCCUAGUGUAGCGGUGAAAUGCGUAGAGAUUAGGAAGAACACCAGUGGCGAAGGCGACUCUCUGGACUGUAACUGAUGCUGAGGCACGAAAGCGUGGGGAGCAAACAG
This 403-nucleotide ribosomal RNA is filed under the name uncultured bacterium. RNAcentral describes it as "bacterial SSU rRNA". It matches the Rfam family "Bacterial small subunit ribosomal RNA", at positions 355 to 775 of the family's 1533-position model. The record is from RNAcentral.